RNAcentral lists this long non-coding RNA (528 nucleotides) under Triticum aestivum (bread wheat). RNAcentral describes it as "long non-coding RNA (TAES_LNC022272)". Lineage: Eukaryota; Viridiplantae; Streptophyta; Magnoliopsida; Poales; Poaceae. The record is from RNAcentral.
AGCUCACACCUGUUAGUCCUGCAAUUCUUCUUGAGAAAAUGCUCAGGUUUGAUGCAGUAAGAAUUAAGAUGGCCAUGUUUCUGAAGAGACAUAAGGUAGCUGAAAUUGCGAGAUGGUAGGUUUCUUACCCCGUCGAGGGUGGCGAAGAGCUUGCCGGUGAGGUCCUUGAGGUCCUUCUUCUCCUCCUUGGUGGUCUUGGAGGAGAUGACGGUCUUGAGGUCAUAGCGUAGGUAGGAGGCCCUGAGGCGGAGGUCGUUCAUGACGUACGGCCAUUGCUUCUUGUCGAUGAGCGGCUUGAGGUUGAGGAUGUCCUGGGCCGACUCCUUGGCCCGGACCGCCGCCUCCGCCGGUGGCAGCGGCUGCAGGUAGAACCGGUUCUUCAGGGGCAGGUCGAAGUCCCUUGCCUCGUCGGAGUUGUCCGUGCCGGCUGAACACACACCCAAAUCAUCCAUCAGAUCAGGCGUAAAAUCAUUAUAUAUAUAUAGUCUACUAAAGCGAGCAUAGUAUGGUAGAUGAUGUACGAGCAGC